This 578-nucleotide ribosomal RNA is filed under the name uncultured bacterium. RNAcentral describes it as "bacterial SSU rRNA". It matches the Rfam family "Bacterial small subunit ribosomal RNA", at positions 102 to 676 of the family's 1533-position model. The record is from RNAcentral.
ACGGGUGAGUAAUGUCUGGGGAUCUGCCCGAUAGAGGGGGAUAACCACUGGAAACGGUGGCUAAUACCGCAUAACGUCGCAAGACCAAAGAGGGGGACCUUCGGGCCUCUCACUAUCGGAUGAACCCAGAUGGGAUUAGCUAGUAGGCGGGGUAACGGCCCACCUAGGCGACGAUCCCUAGCUGGUCUGAGAGGAUGACCAGCCACACUGGAACUGAGACACGGUCCAGACUCCUACGGGAGGCAGCAGUGGGGAAUAUUGCACAAUGGGCGCAAGCCUGAUGCAGCCAUGCCGCGUGUAUGAAGAAGGCCUUCGGGUUGUAAAGUACUUUCAGCGGGGAGGAAGGCGAUAAGGUUAAUAACCUUGUCGAUUGACGUUACCCGCAGAAGAAGCACCGGCUAACUCCGUGCCAGCAGCCGCGGCAAUACGGAGGGUGCAAGCGUUAAUCGGAAUUACUGGGCGUAAAGCGCACGCAGGCGGUCUGUUAAGUCAGAUGUGAAAUCCCCGGGCUUAACCUGGGAACUGCAUUUGAAACUGGCAGGCUUGAGUCUCGUAGAGGGGGGUAGAAUUCCAGGUGU